GGUGGAGACACUGUUGGUGGUGUCGAUUGUGAAUUUGCCUCCUUUUUUUGUGCUAAUGACGGAAUUGACUAGGGUGGUGGUGGAGGGGGUGGCGGUGACGGGGUCAUGUAUCAAUUCGAAACGAUAGCCUAAUUCGUUGGUUUUAGGAUGUUCCCGCCACGCCUCUAGGCGGCCCCAGGACUUCCAGGUGCCGAGUGAUGGGCGAAGGAUUAGCCAAUCACCUGGGUUGGAGCGGCUGACGCGGUCUGAACCUGGGGAUGGAACGAAUGGUGUCACCAUCGAUGCCAUUGCUACUGGUGAGCCUGAGAGGUCAUGGAUUGU
Molecule: unclassified non-coding RNA, 321 nt
Filed under: Hevea brasiliensis (rubber tree)
Lineage: Eukaryota; Viridiplantae; Streptophyta; Magnoliopsida; Malpighiales; Euphorbiaceae
Source: RNAcentral